CAUGAGUAGCGAUAAUUAAUGUGAGAAUCAUUAACGCCGUAAACCCAAGGUUUCCUACGCGAUGCUCGUCAUCGUAGGGUUAGUCGGGUCCUAAGUCGAGUCCGAAAGGGGUAGACGAUGGCAAAUUGGUUAAUAUUCCAAUACCAACAUUAGUGUGCGAUGGAAGGACGCUUAGGGCUAAGGGGGCUAGCGGAUGGAAGUGCUAGUCUAAGGUCGUAGGAGGUUAUACAGGCAAAUCCGUAUAACAAUACUCCGAGAACUGAAAGGCUUUUUGAAGUCUUCGGAUGGAUAGAAGAACCCCUGAUGCCGUCGAGCCAAGAAAAGUUUCUAAGUUUAGCUAAUGUUGCCCGUACCGUAAACCGACACAGGUGGGUGGGAUGAGUAUUCUAAGGCGCGUGGAAGAACUCUCUUUAAGGAACUCUGCAAAAUAGCACCGUAUCUUCGGUAUAAGGUGUGGUUAGCUUCGUACUAGGAUUUACUCCGAAAGCGAAGAAACUUACAACAAAGAGUCCCUCCCGACUGUUUACCAAAAACACAGCACUCUGCUAACUCGUAAGAGGAUGUAUAGGGUGUGACGCCUGCCCGGUGCUCGAAGGUUAAUUGAUGGGGUUAGCAUUAGCGAAGCUCUUGAUCGAAGCCCGAGUAAACGGCGGCCGUAACUAUAACGGUCCUAAGGUAGCGAAAUUCCUUGUCGGUUAAAUACCGACCUGCAUGAAUGGCGUAACGAGAUGGGAGCUGUCUCAAAGAGGGAUCCAGUGAAAUUGUAGUGGAGGUGAAAAUUCCUCCUACCCGCGGCAAGACGGAAAGACCCCGUGGACCUUUACUACAGCUUGACACUGCUACUUGGAUAAGAAUGUGCAGGAUAGGUGGGAGGCUUUGAGUAUAUGACGCCAGUUGUAUAUGAGCCAUUGUUGAGAUACCACUCUUUCUUAUUUGGGUAGCUAACCAGCUUGAGUUAUCCUCAAGUGGGACAAUGUCUGGUGGGUAGUUUGACUGGGGCGGUCGCCUCCCAAAUAAUAACGGAGGCUUACAAAGGUUGGCUCAGAACGGUUGGAAAUCGUUCGUAGAGUAUAAAGGUAUAAGCCAGCUUAACUGCAAGACAUACAAGUCAAGCAGAGACGAAAGUCGGUCUUAGUGAUCCGGUGGUUCUGUGUGGAAGGGCCAUCGCUCAAAGGAUAAAAGGUACCCCGGGGAUAACAGGCUGAUCUCCCCCAAGAGCUCACAUCGACGGGGAGGUUUGGCACCUCGAUGUCGGCUCAUCGCAUCCUGGGGCUGGAGCAGGUCCCAAGGGUAUGGCUGUUCGCCAUUUAAAGCGGUACGCGAGCUGGGUUCAGAACGUCGUGAGACAGUUCGGUCCCUAUCUGCCGUGGGCGUAAGAAGAUUGAAGAGAUUUGACCCUAGUACGAGAGGACCGGGUUGAACAAACCACUGGUGUAGCUGUUGUUCUGCCAAGAGCAUCGCAGCGUAGCUAAGUUUGGAAAGGAUAAACGCUGAAAGCAUCUAAGCGUGAAGCCAACUCUAAGAUGAAUCUUCUCUAAGCUCUCUAGAAGACUACUAGUUUGAUAGGCUGGGUGUGUAAUGGAUGAAAGUCCUUUAGCUGACCAGUACUAAUAGAGCGUUUGGCUUAUCUUUAAUAAAGCAU
Molecule: ribosomal RNA, 1642 nt
Filed under: Campylobacter jejuni
Lineage: Bacteria; Pseudomonadati; Campylobacterota; Epsilonproteobacteria; Campylobacterales; Campylobacteraceae
Description: partial 23S ribosomal RNA
Rfam family: Bacterial large subunit ribosomal RNA
Source: RNAcentral